RNAcentral lists this ribosomal RNA (447 nucleotides) under uncultured bacterium. RNAcentral's name for it is "partial 16S ribosomal RNA". It matches the Rfam family "Bacterial small subunit ribosomal RNA", at positions 329 to 793 of the family's 1533-position model. The record is from RNAcentral.
UGCCAGACUCCUACGGGAGGCAGCAGUGGGGAAUAUUGCACAAUGGGGGGAACCCUGAUGCAGCGACGCCGCGUGAGCGAAGAAGUACCUCGGUAUGUAAAGCUCUAUCAGCAGGGAAGAAGAUGACGGUACCUGACCAAGAAGCUCCGGCUAAAUACGUGCCAGCAGCCGCGGUAAUACGUAUGGAGCAAGCGUUAUCCGGAUUUACUGGGUGUAAAGGGAGCGCAGGCGGCCUUGCAAGUCUGAUGUGAAAGGCCGGGGCCCAACCCCGGGACUGCAUUGGAAACUGCGAGGCUGGAGUGUCGGAGAGGCAGGCGGAAUUCCUAGUGUAGCGGUGAAAUGCGUAGAUAUUAGGAGGAACACCAGUGGCGAAGGCGGCUUUCUGGACUGUAACUGACACUGAGGUACGAAAGCGUGGGGAGCAAACAGGAUUAGAUACCCCCGUAC